RNAcentral lists this unclassified non-coding RNA (180 nucleotides) under uncultured Sebacinaceae. RNAcentral describes it as "sequence contains ITS1". Lineage: Eukaryota; Fungi; Basidiomycota; Agaricomycetes; Sebacinales; Sebacinaceae. The record is from RNAcentral.
AUGAUUGCGAAUGGGUCACCUUCAGUGCUGGCUCUCCAGAGCAAGUGCACGUUGGUGGCUUUCAUCCAAUUCCACACCCUGUGAACCUUUGGCCUCUUGCUAGCCUCGGCUGGCAGAGGAUUUUUUACACAUACUCGAAUGUAAUGAAAAAUUAUUGUUGUGCGCAAGCACUACUAUAUA